UACGGAGGGGGCUAGCGUUGUUCGGAAUUACUGGGCGUAAAGCGCACGUAGGCGGCUUUGUAAGUUAGAGGUGAAAGCCCGGGGCUCAACUCCGGAAUUGCCUUUAAGACUGCAUCGCUAGAACGUCGGAGAGGUAAGUGGAAUUCCGAGUGUAGAGGUGAAAUUCGUAGAUAUUCGGAAGAACACCAGUGGCGAAGGCGACUUACUGGACGACUGUUGACGCUGAGGUGGCGAAAGCGUGGGGAGCAAACAGG
This 254-nucleotide ribosomal RNA is filed under the name uncultured bacterium. Its description in RNAcentral is "partial 16S ribosomal RNA". It matches the Rfam family "Bacterial small subunit ribosomal RNA", at positions 524 to 776 of the family's 1533-position model. The record is from RNAcentral.